AUAGAUACCCCGGUAGUCCACGCCGUAAACGAUGAGUGCUAAGUGUUAGGGGGUUUCCGCCCCUUAGUGCUGCAGCUAACGCAUUAAGCACUCCGCCUGGGGAGUACGGUCGCAAGACUGAAACUCAAAGGAAUUGACGGGGGCCCGCACAAGCGGUGGAGCAUGUGGUUUAAUUCGAAGCAACGCGAAGAACCUUACCAGGUCUUGACAUCCCAUUGACCACUAUGGAGACAUAGUUUUCCCUUCGGGGACAACGGUGACAGGUGGUGCAUGGUUGUCGUCAGCUCGUGUCGUGAGAUGUUGGGUUAAGUCCCGCAACGAGCGCAACCCUUGUUCUUAGUUGCCAUCAUUUAGUUGGGCACUCUAAGGAGACUGCCGGUGACAAACCGGAGGAAGGUGGGGAUGACGUCAAAUCAUCAUGCCCCUUAUGACCUGGGCUACACACGUGCUACAAUGGACGGUACAAACGGUUGCCAACCCGCGAGGGGGAGCUAAUCCGAUAAAACCAUUCUCAGUUCGGAUUGUAGGCUGCAACUCGCCUACAUGAACG
RNAcentral lists this ribosomal RNA (550 nucleotides) under uncultured bacterium. Its description in RNAcentral is "bacterial SSU rRNA". It matches the Rfam family "Bacterial small subunit ribosomal RNA", at positions 778 to 1325 of the family's 1533-position model. The record is from RNAcentral.